AACGCUAGCUACAGGCUUAACACAUGCAAGUCGAGGGGUAGCAGGGUAGCAAUACCGCUGACGACCGGCGCACGGGUGAGUAACACGUAUCCAACCUUCCCAUAACUCGGGGAUAGCCUUUCGAAAGAAAGAUUAAUACCCGAUAGUACUUAACAAAGGCAUCUUUGAUAAGUUAAAGAUUUAUUGGUUAUGGAUGGGGAUGCGUUCCAUUAGAUAGUUGGUGAGGUAACGGCUCACCAAGUCUUCGAUGGAUAGGGGUUCUGAGAGGAAGGUCCCCCACAUUGGUACUGAGACACGGACCAAACUCCUACGGGAGGCAGCAGUGAGGAAUAUUGGUCAAUGGGCGAGAGCCUGAACCAGCCAAGUAGCGUGAAGGAUGACGG
This 383-nucleotide ribosomal RNA is filed under the name uncultured Bacteroidales bacterium. RNAcentral describes it as "bacterial SSU rRNA". It matches the Rfam family "Bacterial small subunit ribosomal RNA", at positions 32 to 414 of the family's 1533-position model. The record is from RNAcentral. Lineage: Bacteria; Pseudomonadati; Bacteroidota; Bacteroidia; Bacteroidales.